GAAGAAAAAGUUCCUAAUGUUAACUAAGAUUACCACGCCGGUCACGCUUUUCAAGCUGUUUCAAACGAUGAUAACACAAUCCACCAUGAAAGAGAGCCAAAGAUGGAAGCAAACGGAGCUGUAGCUGUAUGGGUAUCGAAGGCAUUAUCUCCCUCUGCUCUUCGAAAGAGCCACCUUUCUUUCCCUCCUUAAAACUCUGCGCUCACUCAAAACCAGCUCUUCGUCGACCUCUUGCUUGGAUCAUCAA
This 247-nucleotide unclassified non-coding RNA is filed under the name Hevea brasiliensis (rubber tree). Lineage: Eukaryota; Viridiplantae; Streptophyta; Magnoliopsida; Malpighiales; Euphorbiaceae. The record is from RNAcentral.